GACCUCAAAUCGGGUGAGACUACCCGCUGAACUUAAGCAUAUCAAUAAGCCGGAG
This 55-nucleotide ribosomal RNA is filed under the name Russula rosea. RNAcentral describes it as "partial 28S ribosomal RNA". The record is from RNAcentral. Lineage: Eukaryota; Fungi; Basidiomycota; Agaricomycetes; Russulales; Russulaceae.